Molecule: ribosomal RNA, 513 nt
Filed under: uncultured bacterium
Lineage: Bacteria
Description: partial 16S ribosomal RNA
Rfam family: Bacterial small subunit ribosomal RNA
Source: RNAcentral
GACGAACGCUGGCGGCGUGCCUAAUACAUGCAAGUUGAGCGCUGAAGGUUGGUACUUGUACCGACUGGAUGAGCAGCGAACGGGUGAGUAACGCGUGGGGAAUCUGCCUUUGAGCGGGGGACAACAUUUGGAAACGAAUGCUAAUACCGCAUAAAAACUUUAAACACAAGUUUUAAGUUUGAAAGAUGCAAUUGCAUCACUCAAAGAUGAUCCCGCGUUGUAUUAGCUAGUUGGUGAGGUAAAGGCUCACCAAGGCGAUGAUACAUAGCCGACCUGAGAGGGUGAUCGGCCACAUUGGGACUGAGACACGGCCCAAACCCCUACGGGAGGCAGCAGUAGGGAAUCUUCGGCAAUGGACGAAAGUCUGACCGAGCAACGCCGCGUGAGUGAAGAGGGUUUUCGGAUCGUAAAACUCUGUUGGUAGAGAAGAACGUUGGUGAGAGUGGAAAGCUCAUCAAGUGACGGUAACUACCCAGAAAGGGACGGCUAACUACGUGCCAGCCGCCGCUGUAA